UACGGAGGGUGCAAGCGUUGUUCGGAAUCAUUGGGCGUAAAGCGCGUGUAGGCGGCUUGGCAAGUCGGUUGUGAAAUCCCGGGGCCCAACCCCGGAACUGCAUUCGAAACUGCCUCGCUAGAGUCCCGGAGAGGAAGGCGGAAUUCCCGGUGUAGAGGUGAAAUUCGUAGAUAUCGGGAGGAACACCAGCGGCGAAGGCGGCCUUCUGGACGGUACUGACGCUGAGGCGCGAAAGCGUGGGGAGCAAACAGG
Molecule: ribosomal RNA, 252 nt
Filed under: uncultured bacterium
Lineage: Bacteria
Description: partial 16S ribosomal RNA
Rfam family: Bacterial small subunit ribosomal RNA
Source: RNAcentral